RNAcentral lists this ribosomal RNA (631 nucleotides) under uncultured bacterium. Its description in RNAcentral is "bacterial SSU rRNA". It matches the Rfam family "Bacterial small subunit ribosomal RNA", at positions 8 to 612 of the family's 1533-position model. The record is from RNAcentral.
AGAGUUUGAUCAUGGCUCAGAAUGAACGCUGGCGGCGUGCUUAACACAUGCAAGUCGCACGAGAACACCGAACUUCGGUUUGGUAAGUAAAGUGGCGCACGGGUGAGUAACGCGUGGGUAAUCUGCCCCUGAAUUUGGGAUAACAUUGCGAAAGCGAUGCUAAUACCGGAUGAAGUCAUUGAAACUUAGGUUUUGAUGAUGAAAGAUGGCCUCUACAUGUAAGCUAUUGUUUAGGGAUGAGCCCGCGUACCAUUAGCUAGUUGGUGGGGUAACGGCCUACCAAGGCAGCGAUGGUUAGCUGGUCUGAGAGGAUGAUCAGCCACACCGGAACUGACACACGGUCCGGACUCCUACGGGAGGCAGCAGUGAGGAAUUUUGCGCAAUGGGGGGAACCCUGACGCAGCAACGCCGCGUGAGUGAUGAAGGCCUUCGGGUCGUAAAGCUCUGUCAAGUGGGAAGAACCCUGUGUAUAAUAAAAUGUACAUGGCUGACGGUACCACUGAAGGAAGCACCGGCUAACUCCGUGCCAGCAGCCGCGAUAAUACGGAGGGUGCAAGCGUUAUUCGGAAUUAUUGGGCGUAAAGAGCGCGUAGGCGGUUUUUUAAGUCAGAUGUGAAAUCCCGGGGCUUAA